CUGAGUACUCAGUCACACCAGGCACCAGCUCUGUCUGUGCUGGUCCAGCUGAGUUUGCGGUGUGUUCUUUAUUAGGACAACAGUACAUUGGUGACCCAGCCUGUGUGUGUGUAACCUGGGUUUGGCAGAGAGACAAGUAAGCUCCUGGCAGAAGAGAUGAGCACGGAGGGGAGACCCAGGCUUGGAGCCCUGGCUAAGAUGAGGGGAGGCUGCCCUCAGCUAAACUUAUGGACUAUUCUGAUUCCUGCCCUUGCUUUCAAAGCCUGUGUCACCUGUGGCUGCCUUGUUCUCCUCUUUAGACAGAGCUGCAAAGAGCACAAGACCUUACCUCAGAAUUCAUCAGAGUGGCACUGUGUCCUGGGGACACCUGAGAGCAAAGGAUUUCUUGCUCAACUGGCUAGAAGGACCAGUUACAGCUGGGGAAGGAAAGAAGAGUCACUGCCUUGGUCUGUAUUACUGGGCGGGAGAAAGCCAGUGGCACUGGGUGGAUCAGACACCAUAUAACCAGAGUGCAACGUUCUGGAUACCCAGGGAACCCAAUUUCCUCCCCUGGGAGAAGUGUGCUGUCUUGCAAGUGGGAAGGAGAACAGCAUCCUCAGGGAAAAGGACCUGGAACAAUAUCCGCUGUCACACAUAUUGUCAUGGAAUCUGUGAAACUGCAGCAGUAAAUAUCUGAUGGGAGACAUCUCAUCAUGGAUGUGAGACUAGAGAGAGCCUGUCUCUUGCCUGGGGGAGCUCCCAGGGAGAUGUGCAGAUGUGGGGUUUGGAUAAACCCUGGCAGCUGGACUGUAGCUCUGCAGGGGGGUGGGGAGGUGGUCACCAUGUUCAAGGACUUGAACUUACCAGAAAAGUUAUUUUCUGAAAAAAAUGUAAGCUGAUGGACAUGUUAAAAGUAGAAGAAAGUCUAUUUCAGCCAAGUCCUGCCUGGGACAUCCCCAAAAUUCCCAAGACCUCAGUCAAGGCAUUUGGUGAAGAAUGGCAAGAGAGAGAGAUGGGGAAUUUACCUGAACGUGUGGAGGAAUAUUGCCAUCUUCUCCAUUAUCACAGGUGAUGCUGCUAAGUGUAGUGGCUGCCCUUGUCCCAUUGGGAGCAUCAUGCUCAUAUCAAGGAUGUUUAUUGUAAACAGGAGAGGGUCUCCUCCUGUCCAAGUGGCUCGUGACUGCAGGAUGCAGGGUGAGAUUCAGUUUUCAGGAAGAUUCCAGAGUGGAAGUCUAAUCCUCAGAGCUGUAUUUUGUACACCCACCCCAGUCACCAGCAGUCAUAAUUUAACUACCUGUUCAUGUGUGUAUAUCUAUAGAGUAAUGUCAUAGGCUCAUUAUUUCCCUCCUGAGCAGAACCCUUGUAGAAAUCAAUCUGCAGUGCAUCAUAAGAACAACUCAUCUUUCCUUGUCGUCCCCAAGGUUAGAUCCCAUUAUUCUCUGGAUUUGGGAUCAUCAGUGUUGUUUCCAGAAUAUUCACAGGCAGACACAAACCUUCCUGGUGCUGAGAAAGGUACUUUCCCAAACCACUGUCACCCCAGGACAUGACUGAGGGACCCCAAGCUGGCAUUGUAGUGGGUUACUAUUGCUGCCUCUUCCAAACUGGCAGAUCAAUACCAGUUUGAUGCUGGGCCGAUUGAGGAUGGCCUUUGUGUGGCACUACUACCAUAUGUGCCACUGCCCUGCCAUCUGGGCAGCUAUUGCUCAGAAGAUGUUCUCAGUGCAGUGCCCUGCUUUGAACUGCCAAAGCAUGUCCUCUUGGCCCCAAAUGGCCAGGAGAUCAGCCACCUCUAGCUGAAUCCCAAGUGCCAGCCCUGAGCACUUGUCUCUUGCCUCACUAGCAGGAAUCCUGAUGUUCCUUACUUAAAAGUGCCACAGGUCCACUGCUAACUAAAUUAGUGUGGGCAACCUGACUACUGGGCUGAGGGGAGGUUGAGAUUUACAGUUUUAGUCUGAAGGUUGCUUACUCACAGCUGGUGGCAUUAGACAUGUCUCUGGGAGGACACCUGGUUGUCAGAAAAUGGGAUUUCCCAACAUUUAUGAGGCUAUGGUGGCACACAGUUAGUCCCCUUUGCAGACUGGUGAAUAGGUUACCUGUGAGGAAUUCCCUUUACACCUGUUUGGAGACUACCAUUAUAAACACCAAAUGUGUGACUGAGUCUGCUGCAAAACUAGAGAUAUUCUAACCUAGUGUGGAAUAUGAACACUGAAGGGCACUCUAGGUGAUCCACACAACCAGGAAGAAUGUCUUUCAAUGACACAGGUCCAGGGUCAAAGGACAGAGAAGAAAUUUGGACUCUGUGACAAGCUCAUGUGUAGUGAUUUUCAUAAGAAAUUGCAAACCAUUACACCUGUUGUUCUGUAAGUUCUGAGACCCCUUGGGCCAUGUUUUCCCAGGUGUUAUGGGACCUUGAAUUAUCUAUCCAUUUUACUUAUCUAGUUUAGCUUCUGUGGGAGUGGUCUGCUAAUCUGUCUGAGUAAUUUGAUUCCUGAUUAAUUUUAUGGACUACUGUGGGUGAAGGCUUCCUUUUUCUUGCUAAAAUAAUAUCAUUUCAACUAUGACUUUCCUUGAUUACUGGGAAAGCAGGGGACAUGGAUAUAUUUUGGUGGCUGCUACCCAUUGUUUACUCCUUUUAUAUCCCAGUAAAAUCAUAUGACAAGGCUAGAGCUUCCAUAUUCAUGACAGUUAGGUGAACAGCAGUGUUUGGUUAAAUUAGCCAAUUCUGCACCAUAAAAUCAAUCAGGAUGGCAUAGUCAGAGUUGCCAAGUGCUGGCAAUGACUCCAUGUGUCUGUAUUUCUAGAGUAAGGAUCAAGCAAACCAGAGACACCAAAGGGCAGGCUAAUUGAGAGUGUUCCUUCUCAAUUAGUAAUAGAAACUCUUGUAGACUACAUUGGUCUGACUGCCCAGGAGGGGGAAGGCCAGUAGUGUGGGGUGGAUCAGACCCCGUAUAACAAGACUGCAGUGUGAGUAUCACCGGGGAGGGGCACUGAUCACCUCCUACCCCUAUACCAACAGUGCAAAGUGUAAUGAAUGUGUGUGCAAGUAUGAGAGAGAGAGAAAGGGAAAAAAAAAAAAGAAAAAGAGAGAGGGAAACCAUUUCCCUCUCCUGGAAUUAAAUGUCCAUGAGGAAUUGAGUUUUUGAGGGAAUAUGAUCAGAGGGGUUUUGUCCAUUUCAGGAAGCAGCCCUAAGUGAGUUGGAAGAUCUCUCUGGGUGAUUCACAGACUGCAAACCUCCCACUCCUCCUUCCUCAUCAAGCACAUCUCAGUGUCCUGUGACCUUCCCAAUAGUGCAUUUGUGACACUGGGGCUUCUCACCUGUAGGUUUUGGAGAUCUGAGGAACGCAGUUACCUUGAAAGGGAGAAGUGCACUGCCAUGCAUGUAUCUGAGGAGAGACUGCCCCCUCAUGUGAAAGCAGAGUGAAUAAGAAAUGUGUGCUAUGAAGGUACGUGUUAGGGUGGGGCACUGAUAACCAGCUUGACUGCAUCCCCUGCUGUGGCCGAGCUCUGCAAAAUUUUGUGCCUGAAGGUCAGGAACUCUUUCCUGCAGUGCUGCAUGGGAGAUGGUAGGUAGGGCAGCAAUGAUGGUCUCUGGGUAGGUCAAUGAAUGCAGAUUCAAGAGGUCUAGAAUCACUUCUUAGCUUAGCUACAGACUUCCUGUAUGACCUUGAGUACAUCACCUCACUUAGCCAGUGUCACUUCCCCAUAAAUAUCUGUAUCAAACCUCAUUUCUUCUGGUAUGGCAAGAUUUUUCUUUCUAGUCUCUUCAAACAGUGUUUCCAACUGUUCCAUGGAAGAAGUUAAAAAAAAAAAGAGUCAGGUAGGGUCCUGUUUGAUCUGUGGUCCUCAGCAUUACACCGCCACAGAAUGAGGGGCAGGCAGUGGUGGUGGGGAUGUCCUCCCAGGCACAGUUGCUGGUGGUGCUGUGAAUCACCAGGUGAAGGCCAAGUCCGUGGGUGGA
Long non-coding RNA from Alligator mississippiensis (American alligator), 3938 nucleotides. RefSeq lists it as uncharacterized. The transcript has 5 exons. The record is from RefSeq and is a predicted model, not a curated record. Lineage: Eukaryota; Metazoa; Chordata; Crocodylia; Alligatoridae.